GCUCACUGAGGGGCACAUUCUGAGUAGAAUCAACACCAGGAGCAAUCACUGUCAAGGAAGCAUCUCUCACUAAUAGUCUGUAGAACUCUCCUAAACAGAGAUCUCUUGAAUCUCACAUUUUCACAUUUUCCCAAUUAGAAGACUGGGCAUACUCUGGCACAUUCCUUCCUGCUCCUCGGGGAAGAUCUUCCAGAAUAUAACUCUCAGCUUCCUCACUGCCUGGCCAUGUUCUCAGCGACCAUUCUGCUGCUUGGAAUGCUCUUCACAGUGAGAGGAACCAGAGCCCAGUCAGUGACCCAGCCUGACGACCACAUCAUUGUCUCUGAAGGAGCCCCUCUGGAGCUGAAGUGCAGCUAUUCCUAUACUGGAACUCCUACUCUCUUCUGGUACAUCCAGUACCCCAGCCAAGGCCUCCAGCUUCUCCUCGGGUACUUUUCAGGGCCCACCUUGGUUAAAGGCAUCAAAGGUUUUGAGGCUGAACUUAAGAAGAAUGAAACUUCCUUCCACCUGAGGAAACAAUCAGCCCAUUUGGGGGACUCAGCUGUGUACUUCUGUGCUCUGAGAGACACAGUGGCUGAGACUGCAGGGGGAGCUGAACACAAACCUCAUGAGACACUGGAGUUUUCAGAGACUCAAGGAUACAGCCUGACCUGUUUUUAUCAAGGUCUCUCGUUGGAUGAAAGUGAGCAGGAUGGGGAGCAGAGCCCUGGAGAGUUCUUGUCUCUUGAGGAUAAAAAGGAACUUCAAAGUAUUCCUUCCUUUACCACUGGGACAUGUUAAACAAGACCUAGAACAGAGAAACAUGUAUGGAUAUUCGUCUUCUGCUUGGAGAUACUGCAUUCUAGAGGUUCAGGAUUCUAAUUUAAUGUGACCCAUACUGACUUCUGAUGUUUCACCUUCUGAACUCACCUCCAACAUGCCCUUCCCCCUACCUUUUUCUUUUCCAUUGAUAGCACUUCCAUUCUUUCAGUAUCUCUGGUCAUAACCUCAGUUGUCUUUGACUCUUCUUUUUCUCUCACUGCUUACAUCUGUCAAAUAAAUGAAUAGAAACUUCAUUAAAUUGGACUUGAGAGGCCAAAAGGAGGAGCUCUCAAAUGCUAUGUCAAUAGCAGAGCCCAACAGGAAGA
Equus caballus (horse) is the source of this 1127-nucleotide non-coding RNA. The record is from the annotation of a RefSeq genome assembly. NCBI's taxonomy places the organism in Eukaryota, Metazoa, Chordata, Mammalia, Perissodactyla, Equidae.